RNAcentral lists this non-coding RNA (77 nucleotides) under Schistosoma japonicum. The record is from RNAcentral. Lineage: Eukaryota; Metazoa; Platyhelminthes; Trematoda; Strigeidida; Schistosomatidae.
UUGUAACGAGCAGCCGUUCAGCUACCCAGUGUAUAUUCUAUUUACGUUGGGUCGUUUCCUGCGGCUGAGAUAGAAUG